GACUGCUAACGACGGCAUGGUGCCGUCGCUAGCAGUCCCAGUCAGAUGCUAAGCAGCUACAGACCCCCAACAUAUACCGUUGGAAAGGUAAUCGCCUCACCUUUCCAACGGUAUAAUGCUUGUAAAAAAAGAAUAAAAAAUAUUAAGUAAAAAAAAUAAAAAUGUACAAAAAAAGUAAAAAAAAUGAUAAA
Spea bombifrons (plains spadefoot toad) is the source of this 191-nucleotide long non-coding RNA. RefSeq lists it as uncharacterized. The record is from RefSeq and is a predicted model, not a curated record. The transcript is spliced from 2 exons. Lineage: Eukaryota; Metazoa; Chordata; Amphibia; Anura; Pelobatidae.